AUUGGGACAUAUAAAAAAAGACAACUCUGUUCCACAGGGUAGCUGUUGACAUUAUAGUUGCGCAGGAACUUUGUUGACUCUAGGGAACCUCGGGCAAAUCGCACAUCCCCAUGGUGGCGACUUUGCAUGCAGAUGUCAUCCAUAUCAACUUUUGAUGCCAGUUUCUGCGCCUACCAUGGUGACCACGGGUAACGGGGAAUCAGGGUUCCAUUCUUUACAGGGACCCUGAGAAACGACUACCACAUGCAAGAAAGGCAGCAGGCG
This is a non-coding RNA of Pelobates cultripes (western spadefoot toad), 264 nucleotides long. Lineage: Eukaryota; Metazoa; Chordata; Amphibia; Anura; Pelobatidae. The record is from the annotation of a GenBank genome assembly.